GGUUCAGUGGUCUAGUGGUUAUGAUUUCUGUCUUACACACAGAAGGUCUCCAGUUCGAACCUGGACUGAACCA
This 73-nucleotide transfer RNA is filed under the name Agaricus bisporus var. burnettii. It matches the Rfam family "tRNA". From Rfam's summary of the family: Transfer RNA (tRNA) molecules are approximately 80 nucleotides in length. Their secondary structure includes four short double-helical elements and three loops (D, anti-codon, and T loops). Further hydrogen bonds mediate the characteristic L-shaped molecular structure. tRNAs have two regions of fundamental functional importance: the anti-codon, which is responsible for specific mRNA codon recognition, and the 3' end, to which the tRNAs corresponding amino acid is attached (by aminoacyl-tRNA synthetases). tRNAs cope with the degeneracy of the genetic code in two manners: having more than one tRNA (with a specific anti-codon) for a particular amino acid; and 'wobble' base-pairing, i.e. permitting non-standard base-pairing at the 3rd anti-codon position. The record is from Rfam by way of RNAcentral. RNAcentral also lists the same sequence under 2 other names. Lineage: Eukaryota; Fungi; Basidiomycota; Agaricomycetes; Agaricales; Agaricaceae.